RNAcentral lists this ribosomal RNA (478 nucleotides) under uncultured bacterium. Its description in RNAcentral is "bacterial SSU rRNA". It matches the Rfam family "Bacterial small subunit ribosomal RNA", at positions 1016 to 1505 of the family's 1533-position model. The record is from RNAcentral.
CCCUUCGGGGAAGCUGUUACAGGUGUUGCAUGGCUGUCGUCAGCUCGUGUCGUGAGAUGUUCGGUUAAGUCCGCUAACGAGCGCAACCCGCGUUGUGUGUUAUAUGUGUCACACAAUACCGCCGGUAUUAAGUCGGAGGAAGGUGCGGAUGACGUCAAGUCAGCAUGACCUUUAUAUCCAGGGCUACACACACGCUACAAUGGACAGUACAACAGGUUGCCAAGCCGCGAGGCGGAGCCAAUCCUCUAAAGCUGUCCUCAGUUCAGAUUGCAGGCUGAAACUCGCCUGCAUGAAGUUGGAGUUGCUAGUAACCGCAGGUCAGCUAUACUGCGGUGAAUACGUUCCCGGGGAUUGUACACACCGCCCGUCAAGUCAUGGAAGCUGGCAACACCUGAAGCCGGUAUCCUAACCCGUAAGGGAGGGAGCUGUCAAAGGUGGGGUUGGUGACUGGGACUAAGUCGUAACAAGGUAACCGUAA